ACGAACGCUGGCGGCAUGCCUAACACAUGCAAGUCGAACGAAGGCUUCGGCCUUAGUGGCGCACGGGUGCGUAACGCGUGGGAAUCUGCCCUUGGGUUCGGAAUAACAGUUGGAAACGACUGCUAAUACCGGAUGAUGACGUAAGUCCAAAGAUUUAUCGCCCAGGGAUGAGCCCGCGUAGGAUUAGCUAGUUGGUGGGGUAAAGGCCUACCAAGGCGACGAUCCUUAGCUGGUCUGAGAGGAUGAUCAGCCACACUGGGACUGAGACACGGCCCAGACUCCUACGGGAGGCAGCAGUGGGGAAUAUUGGACAAUGGGCGAAAGCCUGAUCCAGCAAUGCCGCGUGAGUGAUGAAGGCCUUAGGGUUGUAAAGCUCUUUUACCCGGGAUGAUAAUGACAGUACCGGGAGAAUAAGCUCCGGCUAACUCCGU
Molecule: ribosomal RNA, 431 nt
Filed under: uncultured bacterium
Lineage: Bacteria
Description: bacterial SSU rRNA
Rfam family: Bacterial small subunit ribosomal RNA
Source: RNAcentral